UACAGGGGGUGCAAACGUUGCUCGGAAUCAUUGGGCGUAAAGCGCACGUAGGCGGUUCGUUAUGUCGGAUGUGAAAGCCCUUGGCUUAACCGAGGAAGUGCAUCCGAAACUGGCGAGCUAGAGUACGAAAGAGGAUCGCGGAAUUCCCGGUGUAGAGGUGAAAUUCGUAGAUAUCGGGAGGAACACCGGUGGCGAAGGCGGCGAUCUGGGUAGAUACUGACGCUGAGGUGCGAAAGCGUGGGGAGCAAACAGG
Molecule: ribosomal RNA, 253 nt
Filed under: uncultured bacterium
Lineage: Bacteria
Description: partial 16S ribosomal RNA
Rfam family: Bacterial small subunit ribosomal RNA
Source: RNAcentral